UUCAACAAAUUCUGCAUGAACAGAGAAAUAGUCUAAUAAAUGAAGAACACAGAACUGUUAAUUAAUUUGAAGUUUAAAAAAAAAAAAAAUUUAAAACCUGGCAAACAGUUUCUAUAAACAAAAGGAAAUGUGAGGCUGCUCACCUGCUGCAGCUGUUUUAUGUGUGAACAAAGAGUCAUGCAACGUUCAGUCACAGCUUUCAUUGCACUGUGGAAAAACAAGAAAUUACUAAUACUAUCAUCAAAUUAAACUAAAGAUCAGUAACAGUUGUGAGCAAAUUCACUUACUCAGCUUCUGAAUCGUUCUCUUUCAGCUUUUCUGCAAUAGCGUGCCACAUUUGCAUUCUGACAAACAAGUUAAUUAACGUUAGUCAAAUGUAACAGACAAUUUCUCCAGAUCUGAA
Molecule: long non-coding RNA, 403 nt
Organism: Thalassophryne amazonica
Lineage: Eukaryota; Metazoa; Chordata; Actinopteri; Batrachoidiformes; Batrachoididae
Exons: 3
Source: RefSeq, a predicted model, not a curated record